RNAcentral lists this ribosomal RNA (89 nucleotides) under Chloroflexota bacterium. RNAcentral describes it as "Chloroflexi bacterium (marine metagenome) partial 23S ribosomal RNA". It matches the Rfam family "Bacterial large subunit ribosomal RNA", at positions 2836 to 2925 of the family's 2925-position model. Lineage: Bacteria; Bacillati; Chloroflexota. The record is from RNAcentral.
GCAGGAAGACUACCUGCUUGAUAGGCGACCAGGUGUAAGCACAGUAAUGUGUGAGCCUAGGCGUACUAAUGGUCGAGAGGCUUCACCAA